Molecule: ribosomal RNA, 414 nt
Filed under: bacterium enrichment culture clone ALO1_GLFRUDD03F71CE
Lineage: Bacteria
Description: bacterial SSU rRNA
Rfam family: Bacterial small subunit ribosomal RNA
Source: RNAcentral
GAGUUUGAUCCUGGCUCAGAUUGAACGCUGGCGGCAUGCCUUACACAUGCAAGUCGAACGGCAGCACGGGAGCUUGCUCCUGGUGGCGAGUGGCGAACGGGUGAGUAAUGCAUCGGAACGUAUCCUGGAGUGGGGGGAUAACGUAGCGAAAGUUACGCUAAUACCGCAUAUUCUGUGAGCAGGAAAGCGGGGGACCUUCGGGCCUCGCGCUCUUGGAGCGGCCGAUGUCGGAUUAGCUAGUUGGUGAGGUAAAGGCUCACCAAGGCGACGAUCCGUAGCAGGUCUGAGAGGAUGAUCUGCCACACUGGAACUGAGACACGGUCCAGACUCCUACGGGAGGCAGCAGUGGGGAAUUUUGGACAAUGGGGGCGAACCCUGAUCCAGCCAUGCCGCGUGAGUGAAGAAGGCCUUCGG